UAAAACCAUAACCAAGGUAAGCAACGGAAUACACCCUAAAUAGUAUAAAGUGUAAUUGAAACCACUAAUUGCGAAGUUCUGAACGAAGCUUCAGUCAAUUUCAACAUAAAGUUUAAACGAUUUAAAUCUUAAAGGUAGGUUAACAUACAAGCGAAUUGUGAAUAUUGUUGUUAUUGGUCAAUUUCAAAAAAUACAGAGGCGACAAAAUUGACAGAAAGUUGUUUUCAUAUUAUGCGAAUUCGCAUAAUUUAAAAUCUGGGGGGCGGGAAUAUUGAAACUGAUUUAAUUUUUGCGAAUAUUCGCUUCAAAUUUUGAUGAGCGCGUGCGUAGAUAUGAUUUUUUAUGUAAUGUCAUCUCUUGUCAUUUAUUUCUUGUUAUAUUUAUAGUAAUAUAAACAUUGGUUAAGAUUUCUUUAAUUUGUAGUACGAAGUUUUACAAAUAUUUUGACUACAGACUGGUAAUUUUGGAACAUUUUCAAAACCAUCGAAAAUCGAAAGCCUUUAUAGACGUUCUAUCUUAGUUUCUAAAUAUUUUCCAUCGUUAAUUCUCAUUUAUUGCACUGUGAUAUGCAAUGUGAUAUGCUCCUUGCUGUUUUCAUUUUUUAAAUAUUUCACAUGUUCCAAUAAUAAUUGUUCUGUAUUUUAGUGUAUUUUAUUUUUGCUAUUUUUUAUUUAUAAAUAUACAGCAAUAGAUCGUCUUCUACUCCAAAAAUAUCAGCUUCAUCCAUUACACAAAUAUAUAAAAGUAAACCUAUGUAUGCUAUCACGGCACCGCGUUGACUGACAACGAAAAUGGCAACUGGAGACAAAAAUAAAAUUCUUCAUUCCAGUGACAUUUUCAACAUGUGUUUAAAAACACAAAUAUCACUAGAAUUUGUUGCGAAUUCUCUCUAUAUGAACUGCGAAAAUAUUUUAUAUACGAGUAUAACAUUUUAUUUUAUGAAAUUCGCUUUCGCAUUUCGCAAUUUGCUUCUAUAUGAACCAACCUUAAGUCUUUGACAUAAAUAAUUAUUUUCUUUCAAGCCAAGUCAUUUUCGUAAAGAUUUAAAUCGAUUUAAUGUAAUUUAAGUCGUUUUUAUGGCAUAAGUUUAUUUUAAUCAUGAUAAUCUGCAAGUCAGCAAAAUGACCUAAAUCAAAAUAAUUAUCGUCAAGUCGAAGCAGCCAAAAUUCAGUUGAAGUACUAAUUGAAGUACUAAUUUUUGUACCCUAUUAUUGCCGAUUUCCUUAUUAUCUAUAUUAUUAAUUACAAACACAAAAAUAUGUUUUUAUAGAAUUUAAUCGAUUUUGUAGUACUUAUUUGUAUCCAUUACAAUUUAGAUGUCAUCGAAUGCAUGUCCAUUAAAAAGUGGUAAUAUGUUUUGCUCACUGUGUAGCGUAAUAUGUCGAUGGAAUAGGCUAAGGGCUAGAGGAUUUUAAGUUUGUCAAUUUUUGCCUACCUGCUUUGAUUUGCACCGCACGCCACUGCGUAUGGAGGUAAUAAAGCUGCACUGUCCAUGGCUAAUGAUCCUGGUGAUCGAUGCCUUGAAAAAAAUAAUUUGGCAAUAUUAAUAUACUUUUUUUUCUUAAAAAUGAAAGCUAAAGGAACUAAUAAAAUGCUCAAGUAUAGGUGAUGUUUCCUGUUAUCAUAUUUUUUUAUUUUAUUCAUGUCUUAUUCAGAUAUAAAAAAUAAAAAAUUUAUCUGUUUGCAUUUUUACAUCAGUAAUUAGCAUGAUAUUGUAUUCCAUAAA
Molecule: long non-coding RNA, 1726 nt
Filed under: Sitophilus oryzae (rice weevil)
Lineage: Eukaryota; Metazoa; Arthropoda; Insecta; Coleoptera; Curculionidae
Description: uncharacterized LOC115879911
Source: RNAcentral